AGUGGGCGAACAUGGCAGCCAGCGUGGCGUGGCCAGAUGUGUAACGACUUGUCUACACUAGCGCACGGUAAAUGGAUGCGUGCGGUUUAGGCCGCCCAGAGUAGCUCGCUUGUGGGUGUGCUGGAAGCAUAUGGCAGCAAGUUCGAUUGUGCGUCAAGAAUUCAUCAUAGCAAGUUUGUAUGAAGGUCUGGUUAUUAAAUGGGUAAAUACUUUAAUCCAUUCUCCUUUUCAUUAUGUUAUUCACAGGUACAUUUAAAGAUGCUCUAAAACUCUCUGGUGACAAAAACGUUUCUUCCCUGUUUCCAAUCGUCCACAUGGCUGGGAUAACCUAUUCAAGUAAGUUAAGUAAAUAACGUUGCAUUUCGAAAAUGUAAAAACAAAACAUGUAUUAUUAGCUAACUAGCUACAGUGCAGGCUAACUCAAAUGAGCUACUAAUGUAGCUAGCUAACGUUAGCUAUCUAGCCAACUUUACAUACGUAUAGAUCGCUAGCUAAGUGAAUUAAAUAUCACCUGCUACCUAACAUCGUAUUAGCUAGCUAUCUUGAUGUAUUUAUCACUGUAAAAAAACACUCAAAAUGCAUUUGUAGGUAGGUAGCUAGCUAACAGCCAUGGAGAAGGGUGAACAGAUAGCAGCUCCAACUGUCAAAGUGAGAGAGUAGGCUAUUCUGGAUAGGAUAUGGAGUUUUCUAGUUCCAGUCCCAAUAAGUGAGGACAGUGAUAAUAGUAACAUAAUAUUCAGUGCAGGUUAAUUUUAGUAUAAUGAAGUCUGUUUCUUGUGAGGUUUUCUGUCCUCAGAUACAGAAGCCUGUCUGCAGAUGAAGAGGUCCCAAUGACGAGCAGUGGUUCUCAGUCCUGGUCCUGGGAACUCAAAGGGGUGCACAUUUAUGUUUCAGCCUUAGCACUACACAGCUGAUUCAAAUGAUCAACUCAUCAAGUGAUACCUUGUAACAGGACAUUCUUUCAAAACGAUUGCCUACAGUUACCGUGUAGGGCACUGCUCGGUUGGGUGACCAGGGCCAUCUGGGACUGCCUCCUGGGGGAAUUCAGGCGUGUGAAGGCUACUUGUGUCCUGCAUAACAUAAUGGACACGAGGACCAGGAGGGGAUCUGCAACCCACCGCCAUGUGCCAUAGGAGAAGUCUGCUGCUCUUCAGGAUGUUUCAAUGAUGGGGUCCAACAACGCAGCAAGAGGCGAGAGAGCUUCACCUCCUACUUCUUUGAAGAGUGUGCUGUUCCCUGGCAACACCAUAGACUGCACUAUGCACAACCAAAGGCUCUUUUAAGAGCCAUCCACAUUGCAAUAAGAGUAUUCUUCCAUUUACUUAGCUAUGUCAACUGCAGUUAUUCAAUUCCCAGUUUCUCUCCUUUUAAUUUCUACUUCUCAGGUGAAGGUGCCGUUUAGGUAAGGGUGUGAUGUCUGUACAAAAACAAAACAGGCUAUUUAAGUCUCCCAUAUUGAAAAAAUGUAGAACAAUUAGACACCCUAUAACCUACACCUUCACACUCAUGUAUCUAUCUGAUUCAUGGGUUGUGCAGUAAGCAGGCUCAGGUGUAUAACUGUGGCUCCUUCCACCUUCAAUGAAUAGGCAAGAGGGCCAACCAUGGAGAAUAGUAAGACACUUCAUUAUUUCUAUAACUGCGUUAUAUUGUUUGUCCUCGUAAGUCUGUGCAUGUUUUUCCAGCAUACAUUAACUCUGCAGCCACUUAGUGGUGUGGACACCAGGUGAGGCCACACACACAGAUUCCUGUUGAACACUGUCUCUUUAACUACCUUAUUUUCUCUAAAAGUCUCUCCUUCACUACAUCCAUCUCUCCCCUUCUCCCUAAGUCCUCUAGGUUAUAUCAGCAUGUGAACUGGCUACAUAGAGGGCACAGCAUGAUCAGAGGUGAGAGGUCACUUGGUCGGGUCAACAGGAAGUAUUAUUAAAGAGAUGCUUUACAUUGAAAUACAGAUAGAGACGUAGUAGUCCCAGAGUUAAUGAUCCAAGGUCAGUUUAGCAUUUUACCUUCUGAUGAUUAGGAUGGCUGUUAGAAUAUAUAUGUUAAACAUGCUAUCGCCAUCUGUCUCUUGUCUGCAUGUAUGUUUUGAUGUGAGAGAGGAUGCCAACCCCCGGUCCCAUCAUCACCACCUCACCUGCACUGAAGAUAACUUUCGGGCCGACUGGGAGCCCAAGGCUGGUUAGGAGACACCACUAGAGACACUAUGUUAUUGUGAUGAACUGAGUGAUUAUUAGGGUAGCACUGUGAUUCAUUAAUCAUAUACUGUCUUCCCUGCUCCUCUGUUCUUACCUCUUUCCCUUUGUCUGUUACAGCUCUCUCGCCACCUCUUUCCUCCUGUUUUUAUAAUGCACAACAGAUGUGCAUUGAAGUACAGAUUGAACUUGUAUUUAUAAUAUUACAAUUAUAUUUAUAAUGCAUGUUUUAUGUAUUUAACAUUUGGAUAAUUAACUUCUUUCAAUAAAGCAUUUCACAUUCUCUA
Salmo salar (Atlantic salmon) is the source of this 2479-nucleotide non-coding RNA. Lineage: Eukaryota; Metazoa; Chordata; Actinopteri; Salmoniformes; Salmonidae. The record is from RefSeq and is a predicted model, not a curated record.